RNAcentral lists this small RNA (262 nucleotides) under Marmota monax (woodchuck). Lineage: Eukaryota; Metazoa; Chordata; Mammalia; Rodentia; Sciuridae. The record is from RNAcentral.
GGCUGUGGCUGCUGCCAGCCCAGGUGCUGCCAGACCAUCUGCUGCAGAACCACUUGCUGCCGCCCCAGCUGCUGUGGCUCCAGCUGCUGCAGCCCCUGCUGUGGUGGUUCCAGUGGCUGUGGCUCCAGUGGCUGUGGCUCCUGCUGCUGCCAGCCCAUCUGCUGUAGGACCACCUGCUGCAGGACCACCUGCUGCCACCCCAGCUGCUGUGGGUCCAGCUGCUGCAGCCCCUGCUGUGGUGGCUCCAGUAGCUGAGGAGGUU